RNAcentral lists this ribosomal RNA (253 nucleotides) under uncultured bacterium. RNAcentral's name for it is "partial 16S ribosomal RNA". It matches the Rfam family "Bacterial small subunit ribosomal RNA", at positions 524 to 776 of the family's 1533-position model. The record is from RNAcentral.
UACGGAGGGUGCGAGCGUUGUCCGGAAUCACUGGGCGUAAAGGGCGCGUAGGCGGCCUGGUAAGUAGGGGGUGAAAUCCUGCGGCUUAACCGCAGGGCUGCCUUCUAAACUGUCAGGCUCGAGCACGGUAGAGGCAGAUGGAAUUCCCGGUGUAGCGGUGGAAUGCGUAGAGAUCGGGAAGAACACCAGUGGCGAAGGCGACUCGCUGGACAAGUAUUGACGCUGAGGUGCGAAAGCGUGGGGAGCAAACAGG